GUAUUAUUUUCCCCUUUCCCCUCACUUCCUCUUGUAUGAAAUUUUGUAUAACCCUGAGGGUCUCCUUCCAUUUCCAUGCAAUUUCCCUUCUCUCUCCCUUUCCCUCCCACCUCUCAUCCCAGUUUAAUGUUAAGUGUGCAUUGGAGGAGUGACAGCCAGGCUGAGGGCAGAGGGACCCCUCGCCCAGCCUCACUCCUGCACCCCUGGUCUGUCUCCCAGCAGCCCGCAGUAGCUCACAGGGAAGAAUCUGCAGGGCAGCUCUCAGAGGCCGGGUGAGCACUGUCCCCUGGGAAGAGGGAGAGAAAAGAUAAGCCAGUGCAACGGGGUCCAAAUGACCACUCCACCAUGUCCCUUGACAGCGCAUGGGUGUGACCUACUAUUUUUCUUCUCAGUGGCCACCAGGCAAAGAAAGCCUGCUCAGGAAAGGAGUGGGAAGGGGGCAGCCCCUCAGUUCUAGGCUCCUGCCACUGUAUACCUUGAGACCCUCCGAUAGCCUAGGGGGGUGACAUCACUGUGCCUUUUCACAAGGCACAGAAAAGUCAAGGACUUCAGUGAUCACAGGCUUGGACACAGCAAAACAUGGACUCGACCCUCAGCCCCUGCCCUUUCCACAACAGGACAAAUAAAGGUGCGAAGCCGUGGGAGGUGGUGGGUUGGGACGAAGGCUUGACUGGGGGUCCAGGGGCAAAUCCUGGCUCUGCAGGUCCUCCCUGUAGAGGCUGCUACUGCUCCAAAGUCUGAACCUUCUCAGCCUUCCGGGCCUCUGAGGUUGCCAGGAACUACAAGGCAGCUAAGGAGCAGUGGGCAGAUGUUGGGACCUCCACUGAGCCUUUCUAAGAGGAGCAGGAGCCUUCUGUGUACAGCCUUCCACCCUCCUGUUGGAAAGUGGAUGUAAGGAUGGAUGCUUUGGCAACCACCUUGGACCAUUAGGAUUGCGUUACAUCUAAGGGACCAGGGAUUGGAGAGCAGGGAGAACUCUGAGGAGCUGUUUCCUAGCCAUGAACUUUUUAUACAACACAAUUUUUUCUUUCUUUCUUUCUUUGCAAUACUAAGGAUUGAAUCUAGGAGUGCUCUACCACGGAGCUAUACCCCCCAGGCCUUUUUAUUCUCUUUUUUUUUUUUUUUUUGAGACAGGGUCUCUAAGUCAACCCAAGGCAUUAUGGGAGUUAAAUAACAACACUGAUUGCGCACCUGCUACCUACCAGGGCUUUCCUAAGCACGCCACAGGCACUGACACGACAAGCCCUGAAAGCCAACCCGCAGAGGGGGCGCUCUUGCCAUUUACCAUUUACAAAUAAGCCUGCAUUAGGUGAUUUACGUUCAGCUGUGGGGGGCAGGAUCUCCAGGCUGACAAAGACGCGCCAGCGGUCUGCUGAGCGGGGCACACCGAGGCUCCGCUGCCUGAGGUCCCUGCCCAUCACCGGGGGCUUCUCGGAGCUGUGCUCUUCCCCCCAUGUCCACGCGGGCGCGCCACGAUGCAGCAGUCCAGAAAUGGAACGUCUAACAACAAACAGUGAAUCCGAGAAGGAAGGAUUCCCGGAAGCUAACACGGGAAAUUUCGCCCUCGGUCCCAGGGGGCAGGACGGGCACCCGUGGCCAUGGAUGGCGGCAAGGGAGGGGCAGUGUCGCCUUCAUUCUGGACUGUCACGUGCGCGGCUCAGACUGCUGCACCUGGGAGACGCGACCACAAGGAGGUUAAACACCGACCUCGGGCUCUGCAGUAGCGGCACAGCGUGGGCCGAAAGGCAGGGUCCCGCUGCACAGUCCCCCAGGCCACCCGCUAGGCCAGGCUCCGCCCACUGUGUUUCUUUGAAAAUAAAGUUUCAUGGAAACACGGCCACGCCCCUUUUCUCACAAAAUCCCCCGCUGCUUUCGAAAUGGACCAGCAGAGGUGAGGAGUUUCCAGUCCACCUGGAAGCCUUUCCCUCUGACGGCCGAGGACUCCAACCCCGCUCUCCACCGACGGCCGCAGUGACAUAAAGUACCUGAAGCAGUGGGCGCAGCCCCUGACCAAGAACGUUCGAAAAACACUGAGAUUCUGCCGGUGCCAUCACUGAGAGCAGGCUUGGCCUCAGGACUGGCAGGUGCUCUUCCAAGGAGACGCAGAGAUCCCACUGCCAACAUGGGAGAUGGGCAAACGCCCUGGAGCCCUCCACAGCUCUCCCCCCUUUGCCUGCUGCCAGCAGACGGGGAGGGCGGUGACCGCUGCUGGCUCCCUGACUGUGGAAUAGCUGGUGUCUCCUGCCAAACCAAGCCUGUGUUUUGCAGGGUUGGGGACAGACUGAAAUUGCAGCUAUUUUUCAAUGCCUCGAAUAUGUGUGGGCGAGCACAAGUUAAAAAAGAGAAUCUAUUGACAAAAGGAUUCUAAAGUUCAGCAAGAAGAGGAAGCUGAAAAAAAAAUAGCCAAGAAAAGUUUGAAAAAGAACAGAACAGCAUAAAAGGUAAGCUGAUCUGCUGGGAAUUUCAGAUUGUAAUAUCUCAUUUAAACCUCGUAUAAUCCCAUAAAGUAGAGACUAUUAAUAAACCGCCCCCCCCCCCUUUUUGACAGUAUUGGGGAAUUAACCCAGGAGCACUCUACCACUUUGAUACAUCCCCAGCCCUUUUUGAUUUUUAGUUUGAGACAAGGUAUCACUAAGUUGCCUGGCUGACUCAAAACUUGUGAUUCUCCCACCACUGAGAGGACAGGCAUGCAUAAACACGCCAGACCUAUGUACGCCACUUUGGAGAUAAGUAAACUGAGGUUCAGACACAACAAAGGAUCUCCAAGGGUUGUAGGUGUAGACACCUCUGUUGCUAUGGAUACGUCCAAAGUGAAGCAUUCAGGGGAAAGUAAGAGUGGGAAGAACAGCACACGCACAGGCCUGUGGGACUGACACCCCCACCUGUGCCUGUUCCCGUACCACAGAAGGCUGCAGAGGGAACGAAAGUUCAGGGUGGCCACCAUUAAAGAUGAUGACAGCCACCUAAACACCCUCCACACAUGGCAGACGAGGCUGAGUAGAAUACCUAACACCAGGUAUCUGUUCCUUGGUUCCUCCUGUGUGCGGAGCCCAUGUUAAGUACCUGUAUAUAAAUUCUCAUUUAAUUCUUUUCGUAACCUAUAGAUAUGUUGUGGUUUAGAUAUGAAAUAUCCCCCCAAAGCUCACAUGGCCAUGCAGGAUUGUUCAGGGGUGAACCAGUUAGAAUAUGAGAGCUGUAACCUAAUUGGUGGAUUAAUACAUUUGAUGAUUAAUAAUUUGAAUGGACGACUGGAUGGUAACCCUAGGUAGUUAGGGUGUGGCUAGAGGAAGCCGGUCACUAGGGGGAUGGACCCUUGGAUGCCCCCGCCCUCCCUCUCUCUCCCAGCUGCCAUGAGCUGAAUAGCUUUUCUAUGCCACACCCUUCCACCAUGAUGUUCUUCCCCACCUCCUCCUGGAGCAGUGAAGCCAGCCAGCCAUGGACUAAACCUCUGAAACUGUGAGCUGAGAUCAACUCUUCUUCCUCCAAGUUGCUAUUGCUGAGUAUUUUAGUAUUAGCAAUGAAAAACUGGCUAACACGAGGUGAUCUUACUACCGCCCAUUACCAAUGGUGAACCUGAGCCUCACAGAUGUUAAGUAAUAGUUCCAUUGUCCCAGAGCAAGAACUGAAACUGAAAGCUGAGCUUUCUACUCAAAGCCCAGGAUGUGUAGGAUUCAGUUCAAUUCAACAGACAUUUUUUUUGAGCACCCAUUUUGUGCGAAAAACUCUCCUGGGUGUUGAAAAAUAGCAAUGAUAACUGGAGUAGGUCUCGGCAUCCAGAGUUCCUGCUGGGGUCCCCAGGACCUAGGAAGAAAAGGGGAGGGUUACAAAAAUUAUAUAUUAAGGACAUUUGACAGGUGUGGAAUCAACAAGACAAGUAAGCUGAUACUUCAGGCAGGGAAGAACCAGUCAGAGUUGAGAAGUGGAGAAACUCCAAGUUCUCAGUCACAAGCCAGGUUCAAGGGCAGGUAGGAACCAGAGGUCAAAUGAACCCAACUGAACUGGAGUUCAGCUCGGGAAAGAUUUCUGGUAGAAAAUAACAGAAUCCAUGGCUUCUAUGGACUUUUUAUACAAAAUGGCCAGCUUACAUUUUUAAAAGCAUUCCGUGACAUUCAAAGAGGUAGAAGACUUGAUCAUAAGUAGAAGAAAACAAUAGACAACAGGAGAUCCAUAGAUGUCAUGAACUUUAGAGUUCAUCAACAAGGACUUUAAAGCAAUUAAUAUUCAUAUGUUUAAUUAGAAGAAUUAAUGCACAAACAUAAUGUCUCAAAUUGAGAACUCACUGGAUAUGUGUUUAAAAGCAGAAUGGAUACAACAGAAUACAAAAUUAGUGAACCUGAAGGUAGAUCAAUAAAAACUAUCUAAACAGAAGCACUCAGGAGACAAAAAAUAAGAUGGAAAAAGCAGAACAGAGCUAAGCAGGCUUGUGGAACAUGCUCCAAAGGCCUCUUGUGUGUGACUGGGAUCCUAGGAAAGAGACUGGGGGCUGAAGUCGCAUUAGAAAAGGUAGUGGCUCUUCUCAGAAGAUGAUAUACAGUUGAUCAACAAAUAUGCAAAAAUGUUCAACAUCUCUAAUUUGCAAUUAGAGAAAUGCAAAUCAAAACUACUGUAAGAUUUCCUCUCACUCCAGUCAGAAUGGUAGUCAUCAAGAAUACAAGCAACAGUAAGUGUUGGCCAGGAUAUGGGGGGAAAGGCACACUCAAACAUUCCUGGUGGGACAGCAAAUUUGUGCAACCGAUCUAGAAAGCAGUAUGGAGAUUCCUUGGAAAACUUGGAAUGGAACCACCAUUUGACCCAGCUAUCUCACUCCUUGGUCUAUACCCAAAGGACUUAAAAACAACAAUACUUCAGGGACACAGACACAUCAAUGUUUAUAGCAGCACAGUUCACAAUAGCCAAACUGUGGAACCAACCUAGAUGCCUUUCAAUAGAUGAAUGGAUAAAGAAAC
This 4946-nucleotide long non-coding RNA is filed under the name Marmota monax (woodchuck). Lineage: Eukaryota; Metazoa; Chordata; Mammalia; Rodentia; Sciuridae. The record is from RNAcentral.